CACGCUGUAAACGAUGAGUGCUAGGUGUUGGGGGUCAAACCUCGGUGCCGCAGUUAACGCAUUAAGCACUCCGCCUGGGGAGUACGUUCGCAAGAAUAAAACUCAAAGGAAUUGACGGGGACCCGCACAAGCAGCGGAGCAUGUGGUUUAAUUCGAAGCAACGCGAAGAACCUUACCUGGAUUUGACAUCCCUCUGACCGUCUCUUAAUCGAGAUUUUCCCUUCGGGGACAGAGGAGACAGGUGG
RNAcentral lists this ribosomal RNA (245 nucleotides) under uncultured Clostridiaceae bacterium. Its description in RNAcentral is "partial 16S ribosomal RNA". It matches the Rfam family "Bacterial small subunit ribosomal RNA", at positions 796 to 1041 of the family's 1533-position model. The record is from RNAcentral. Lineage: Bacteria; Bacillati; Bacillota; Clostridia; Eubacteriales; Clostridiaceae.